GAGGGUGAUCGGCCACAUUGGAACUGAGACACGGUCCAAACUCCUACGGGAGGCAGCAGUGGGGAAUAUUGCACAAUGGGCGAAAGCCUGAUGCAGCAACGCCGCGUGAGUGAUGAAGGCCUUCGGGUCGUAAAACUCUGUCCUCAAGGAAGAUAAUGACGGUACUUGAGGAGGAAGCCCCGGCUAACUACGUGCCAGCAGCCGCGGUAAUACGUAGGGGGCUAGCGUUAUCCG
Molecule: ribosomal RNA, 234 nt
Filed under: Clostridioides difficile
Lineage: Bacteria; Bacillati; Bacillota; Clostridia; Peptostreptococcales; Peptostreptococcaceae
Description: partial 16S ribosomal RNA
Rfam family: Bacterial small subunit ribosomal RNA
Source: RNAcentral